CAUAUCUAAAUAUAUAACAUUCGAACAGUAUUUAUUUAUCUUGCGUUAUUCAAUAAAUCAAAUAUAAUCACAUAAAUUGAACGUAAAUGGAGACGAGGGUUAUAUAUGAAGCCUUACAUAUCUACUUAUUAGGGAAGUAGACUGAGGAAUAGCAGAAAUUGCAACUGUACUGUUGACAAGUCGAAGCAACUCAUGAUGUUCUAACCUCAAAAUAAUAUCAUCAACAAUAAUAUUGUUAGAAGAUGAAAAAUGAAGUUCAAUGCUCACUUCUCAGCAGAUAGUUUCACCAAUAAUAUUCUUCUUCAGAUGGACCUUUGCCUCUUGUUGUACAUGCUACUACUAUGGUGAGAAGAAAAAUUUCCCCCUUUAUUUAUUUAUAUAUA
Solanum pennellii is the source of this 383-nucleotide long non-coding RNA. RefSeq lists it as uncharacterized. NCBI's taxonomy places the organism in Eukaryota, Viridiplantae, Streptophyta, Magnoliopsida, Solanales, Solanaceae. The transcript is spliced from 3 exons. The record is from RefSeq and is a predicted model, not a curated record.